GCGAGUUCCAUCCCCAACCUGUCAGUGUGUGCAGUCUCUUAACAUGAUAUCUCCACCAGCUCUGCAUAACCAGCACGACAGCCCUCCAGCGCAGCGAGCACUCUGAUUUUCCAUGGACGGAUGAAUCACUCUCGAAUGAACACUUAGUGACCCGUGGAUUGAAGGCCAAGAUUAGCCUUAGCAACCGAGGCUCUCUGGGGUCCGUAAUCGAUGUCGAGGGCUGAAUGUCAUGCUGUUUACCUGAGCUCUCUCCCCUGGUCAUCUGCUCCAAGUCACAGCGGGUCGGGUGUGGUAUAACUGUGGAAUGCAUAGGUGCAGUGUUUUGAAAUCAGCUGGCACCUUCACACGUUGGGAGCCACACAGCGACACCUGGCAGCGUCUCCGUUUCUCUGUUGAAAUCACUUACUCCGCUGUUUCGCCCAAGCUGUUCUGGAUAUUUGGGAGGCUCCUGCCAAGGAUCCGCACUCUACAUCUGCCAGAGUGAGAGAAGGGUUUGGAAACACUUGUAAAAGAUGAGGCAUUUUUCUAAAUGCUUUAUAUUGGAAUUAAGAGUUGAGGAAACGCUGUCUCACGUGUCACUUGAUAAUAUUCCCCUCCCGGCGUCCGUGUGGUGCAGAGGAUGAAGAAAUUAAUGUUAAUGUUUAAUCCUUGAAGAGGAGACCCUGUUCCCAUGGAGACGCUCGUUUGCCGCGCGCAGAACACAAUCCAGGUGUUGGUGGGGGUCAGCAGCUCCUGAAUUAGUGAUAGUGAACAGCGAGCCGUACUGCUAGUCACAAGCAGCGAGCCGCAAAGAGAGUUAAUUAAGUCGAUAUGACACACUCGAGCACAUGUUCAGCAGUUUGCACAUGCACGCACACAUCUACAUCUACUGAAGUGUGGCUGCAACCGCACAUUAAAGAUUUAGACUUCCUGGCAAGUUGAAUGAAAAAUCUCCAAGUCAAGCUGAGCUCAUUAGUUAAGCUUCAAGGAUCAUCUGGCCUGCAAAUGAGUUUAUUUUUGUCCCUGUGUGCAGUCUGCGUGAGUGAGUGGGUGUGCGUCCAUCUUUUCAAUUACUUUCAUUGUUCAGAGGUGCCAAAUCAGUAACUCAUGUCCCUUCUGCACUGGGCCGCCGCCGAGGACUCAUACUUAACAGAUAAAUGUUCUUAAGUACACUAAUUAUCCUAACACGGGCGUCAGCGGGCAGGUUGUUUUUCCUUUCUGUCUGCUGUGCCCGGCAGUGGGACCCCUGAAGUUGAGCCCCGUGAAUUACAUCAGACAGAGGUAAAUGUAUGAAAGCACAUAACUGUCGUCAAUACCGUGAUGAAUUUAAUAUUAUACAUGUCAAUAAAAUCAGUCAGCACAAAGUCACAUAUGGGUUCAAUAAACUAACUACAUCCAAUGCAACAAACAUUACAAAACUGCAAAACAAUAAUUGUGUUGUCUGUAGUUAGAUUUUGUUUUGAUGUGCAGAAUGCAUUUGUUACAUAAAUUCUUUUAUCGAGAAUGACACAGUGACUGGAGUCACGUUUGAACGUUUUACUUGCAGCAAGGACUUCAUGCAUGCCCUCCAGCAGCUACACAAUCAGCCGACCAUAGUGAGGUCCUCCUGUCCUAGAUACGUAGAGACAGCCUUGACAGAGAGACGUCAGCCACUCAUAACACAGGAGGUGUAUGCAGACUGCUUCUGUGCCUUGUCUGCGGGGCCUUUACCAGAGUUGUGGUGAAGUGGAUGAGACAGUUUAACCUCCGUAUUUUUUCUGCAGCAUUCAGCUCUGAUGAUCCGACCCUCGUUGCCCCGGCUCUUCAGAUCUUUAAGUUACGGGCAGGCGGCACAUGUAGUGGCGCUGCGAGUCAGCGAGCGCAGAGUGGAUUAACAGAUCAGGUUAUUUUGAUCUUUUGAUGAGGUACAGCUUCUAUUCGAAGAUCUCUGCACAGGGUUAAGAUGUUUCGCUGACACCACAUCGACAGGUUGAAGUCAGGUGAAGGAGCACCUCUGCUAUUAGGCUACACGAAAAAAAUAAACACAUGGAGUUAAUAAGCGUAGGCAACGGUUUCAGAUCACACACACACACACACAUACAUAUAUAUGUAUGUAUAACACAGCUGGGUCACUGGUACUAAGGUUACUGUAUAUAAUUUCAUAAUUUUAUCAUUUUAUUAUUUUAUCAUUUUCAACACUUCACUGCUGGCUGCUGAUUUUAAUGUCAUGAUACGGUGAGUACUUUCAAGGUUACCAAUGUAGAACAGAAACUACAAGCAAAAUGCUUCAACAGCAAACAACCAUGCAGGUACUUGCUUAGCUUGUUUAAGCGCACAAAUGCUGAUUUUAUUUUUGGUAUCAGUACAAAGCUCUUCACACUGUUUAGUUAAAGGUAGCACGCUCAUUGUAUUUUAGGAGAACUGUACUUAGAUUCGCUGAUGCUCUCCCUCAUCACUCACGUAUGGACAUUAAAGGCAGAGAUAGGUGCAUCAGUUGGAAGCAAUGGAAGAAAACAACAACGCAAUACAUGUCUGGGAAGGCAUUAUAUGUCACGUGUUCCAGAAAAUUUACAAAAAAACAUUUAGUGAACUUCCAACGUUUCACUUUACAGCAAAAAUUCCCAUUUAAUGAGCCUGCACAGCACAACAUUCACUCACCAGUUCAUAAGUUACACUUUAUGAAUAUGGAUGCAUUCUAAUACGACAGCCCUGAACUAACUAACUAUCUUGAUGACAGCUAUGGUUUUCAGGAUUUGUAGCUGUAACAACAUGUGUUUCUUAUAUUCAGACGACACCAUUUCAGGGGUUUAAAGUGGGUAGGUAGUGGGCUAGGCUAAAUAAAAGAAAGCUUUAAUUCAAUACACUUUAACAGCACCACAAACUACAUCCUCCAACACGAUCAUCCCGUCGAACCAGAAAAGUGGUAAACGACCGCAAAGGAGAAGUCAGCGCAGGGCAGUUACAUUGGAGUGAAUUUUCUCUGAACUGUUUUAAUUAGUGUACCUAAUGAACUGGCAGGUGAUCUCUUUUGGUGUACUUAAAUUAUAAUAACGUUCUCAUACCCUAUCAGAAAGCAUAGACGUAAAUUAUAAUAACCUGACACAAUCAUUAAAAAUCUAACAAACAUCUCUGAUUAAGAGCCGAUUUGUGAACAGACAGUGGAGAAAGGUCGACAAAUUAAUCUUUAUCUUUCCUCUCUCAAGAUCACUGGUCAUAUUCAAGAGGCCGCCAAGAGAAAUGAGUUUAACAGCAGUUUAGUUUCCAUUUUGUUCCUGUGCUCACUCAUUGAUUCCUAUGUGAUGUCUGGCAGCUGCACUCUGCUGAUUGCAGCAGUUUGAGUAGGAGUUUGGAUCCGCUCCAAAUCUAAUACUAAGCUAAAGAGGGGGGAAGCCCUCUUCAUUAAUCUAAAUGUUCAGUUGUAAUGCAAAAGUCGUUAAAAAUAUGUUUUAUUAGCGGGCGCCCUCAUAUUUCAGGGGUUAUUUGCUGAAACACAGAUGAAAUGGAAAACUCGAACCUUUGUUUUAUUAAAACUUUAAGUGUGUUCUGCACGGAGCAGCUGUCCAUAUGGUAGCUUUGGCACAAUAGGAUUGUCUGGAGCUGUUUAGAGAUAAACUGCACAGAAGGUCAAACCUCAGUGCAUGUUACUGUUCGCUGCUGUUCAUUGUUUGUGUAGUCUUUUGACCUUUUUCUCCUUCUUCCACGAGAACCACAAACAUUUAUAUCUAAGAAGCUUUGACUUCCUUCCUCGGGCUACAACAAUGCGACAGGAGAUUUAGUUUGCUGCAGAAAACAGAAAAGUUAAAGUUUGAUCCAGUGAUCGACAGCAUCAUGAAACAAAAUGCAAUUAAAUGCGAAAGAGAAAUAGGGGUUAAAGGAGCUUAACAGUAUUACAGUGAGUGAGAACAGGAGGUGAGUUCGCCCACUAAUUAAGACAACCUCAUUAUGGAAUUAUGGUUGUUCGUGAGAGGUGAAGGUGACAUGAUGCCGUUCCCCCACGUCUGGAUGCUUUUAGUACGUCUUCAGCACAGAAAGUCAAACCAUGUUGACAUUUUCUUAUAUUGAAUUUGUAUUCCAGUUUUUAGUCCUGAUUUAGAUUUUAGUGACUCUUUAUUGCUAUUUAAUCAAAUAGUGAUUAUUUAUGGGUCGGAGGUAUAAUGUGACAUAGUCGAGUGAGUUACUUCAUGACUUAAACAUCUCAGAAUAAAUUGAAUAACUUCUUAAUCUCAUUACUCAUCCUCUUCAAAUGUAACCUCUCACAGUGAUACUGACUCUGAAUGGAGUUUUAAAGUUAUGACAUUGUAGAUAGACUAUAAGCUCCUAUUUACGCGUUAUCUUACUGGUAUUUGUCAUUAUAGAUUUACUGGCGGCAGCUGUUGUGAGUAAUCCUAAACAUGGCCUCUGUUUCCCUCUAGUGGUCACACGCUACAUCUCAACCAGCGAUCACAUGGUUUCUUUUCUGCUCCCUUUUUUUUUUUUUUUUUUUAAAUCCAAAUCAGGAAGCUGGAUUUGCGGUAAUUCUGUCUGUUAUUGAUUAGAUUUGUGGUUUUAAAGAUUAGGUUAUACUUCCUGAAACCGUCUGUCUGCUCAUAUUAGUGUGAAAAGUUUACGGACCUCUACCCAACUUUUCUAAAAGUCUUUCUAAAAAGGCAAAACAAGGCUCCAUUUGGCCAAAAACAACUAUCAAAGCAUAAUUGCCAAGUAUGUUUUUUUACAAUACUGUUACAAUAUCAAUAAAAAUACCAAUGUGCUUGCUAAAGAUUCUUUUUUUUUUCUUGUUUUCCAAAAACGUCCAUAUAUGUUGUUAUGCUAACGAUAUACUGUCAGGGUUUUCAUAGUGUAUCUCUUUUAAACCUGGAAGCUCAUCAUAAGCUUUUAGAAAUUUAGAGGGAACCUUACAGCAGGUGCUUGUUGCUUGACUGCACAAUGUUCCUCUAUAAUAUCAGUAAGAUCUAACCUUAUAGAAAGGCUCUUGAUGCUUCCCUUUUGGUGGAGCACAUGUAUUAAAUGACUGUAUUGAAAAGAAAAGAUCCUGAUCUGUGAUUAUAUCACCACAACAAAACUGGUUUGAUUUGAGAUCAAUGUAGUUUUGAAGAUCAAACGAAACCAUUAAACGCUUAAUUUUCUCUGUAUUUUUUUCACUUUACAUUUGUUUAAAGUUUUACCUUUUCAGCGCUCUGUAAACCUUUCAACUGGAAUAAUUUUAGGAGGAAACAUUCCCUGUUGGAACGAAUCUGCUUCUCUUUAAAUCAUGAUUCAGACUAUAUUUUAAAUCCAUUUUAAACAUUUGCAUUAUAUUUAACAAUGCUGUCAACGCCUUAUUUUUCUCAGUUCCUCUGUUUUUCUUCUUCCAUUCUUCUCAACAGACCCAAGAGUUAACAGCUGGUGGCACCCUCCUCUGCAGAAUCACUCUGUGGCUGCAGCGUUUUCGAACAGUUCAUCUUCCUUGUUUGUUUUAUAGUAGGUGAGAUCACCACCUCAUGUCUCUGAAUGGGGUGGUGGGAUGGAGGAUAAGAUUCUCAGUAUUUCUGUAGAGGCACACAACCUGAUGAGCGUGCAAUAGAUCUGGGUGGGUAUAAAUUUUGCAAAACUUUCCAUGAAGUCUUAGAUAUGAGCGCGCUUCUUCUGCGAACAGACAUGUUGGGACAGGAGCGGGUGGCUUGAGGUAUGCCUGCUAUGACCUGCUCCCCACUCUCUAAAUGAACAUUGUAUCCUGAGGCAACAUAUUUCUGCUGUGGUUACUUCUAUGCGUCCUCUGUUCUUUUAAAAUCCCUUUUACACUUUUCAUUGGUUUUAAUAAACUCCUUUAAGUGACAACUUAUUCUAAAUCUCACCACCUGAUGAUUCCUAUCAUUUAUCUUUUCAGAAGUUACAUGUUUAAAGAAAUGUGGGAUGUUUGGGGUGGAGCUUUGAACGGAAUAUUCAAAUCCUCGAAGUUGACUUCAAAUGAGUUUGUGUGUUUUUUCUCUGCAGCUAGACUCACACAACUGAACUAAGAUACUAUAGAUGCACUAUUCAUGAACCUGCCGGACGCCUGAUUAUAAUCCCUACCUCAGUUCAUUUGCGUUCAUCAGUUCACCUGUAUGACUUCAUCUUACGCGUACAGUCAG
Molecule: long non-coding RNA, 6065 nt
Organism: Mugil cephalus (flathead mullet)
Lineage: Eukaryota; Metazoa; Chordata; Actinopteri; Mugiliformes; Mugilidae
Exons: 3
Source: RefSeq, a predicted model, not a curated record